This is a long non-coding RNA of Eriocheir sinensis (Chinese mitten crab), 530 nucleotides long. RefSeq lists it as uncharacterized. The record is from RefSeq and is a predicted model, not a curated record. Lineage: Eukaryota; Metazoa; Arthropoda; Malacostraca; Decapoda; Varunidae. The transcript is spliced from 3 exons.
UAUAGCCAGUGUUCCUUGGGGUUACAAACAGCGGAAAUCGAAACGGAAAAUGUGAUUGACGCAGCUCGUAAAAAAUCAUCCAUGUGGUUUUUUUGUGGCUUAUUCCUGUGGCUGAUGAAGGAAUAGUUUGUGAUCCACCACGAGGUAUACCAUGGCCAGCGUUCCUUGGGGUUAUGAACAGCGGAAAUCGAAACAGAAAAGGUGAUUGACGGAGCUCGUAAAAAAUCAUCCAUGUGGUUUUCUUGUGGCUUAUUCGUGGCUGAUGAAGGAAUAGUUUGUGAUCCACCACGAGAGAUACCAUAGCCAGCGUUCCUUGGGGUUACGAACGUCAGAAAUCGAAACUGUAAAAGUGAUGGAUGGAGCUCGUAAACAAAAUCAUCCAUGGUGAAUGGUUUACGAUCGACCGCAAGAGACACCAUGGCCAGCGUUCCUUUACAUAGAGAAAUACCGAAGACGAAAUCAAUUGAAAUAUCGUAUUUUGGCGAGUAACGAAGGAAUGGCGAACAGAGAUAUACCAUGGCAAGCGUUCC